RNAcentral lists this unclassified non-coding RNA (352 nucleotides) under fungal sp. RNAcentral's name for it is "partial internal transcribed spacer region". Lineage: Eukaryota; Fungi. The record is from RNAcentral.
AGGUCGUAACAAGGUUUCCAUUAACACGUAUCCAAACGUUAAAACCCCCCCGUGAACUUUUAUCCUGCUCUUGUAACCCGCGUAGUUCGCAAUCUCUGAUAAAUCAUAGCCCGGAAAGUUGUAGUGAUUCAGAGACCUCUGGCUACGUGCGAACAUUGGAGUCAGUGUCGGAAAGUGUCAUUGAUUGUGCAAGGAUAGCGCUUCUACGAUUCCUGUAGACCGUACACUCGGGCAUCAGCUUUGCCAAAGGGUCCCCAUGCCCCCUAAUAACCCCACAGUUUAAUGUGAAGCUCAAUGUAAUACAUUGGGUAAAAAAACCGAACAACUGUUAACAAUGGAUAUCUUGGUUCUC